GAUGAAGAACGUAGCGAAAUGCGAUAAGUAAUGUGAAUUGCAGAAUUCAGUGAAUCAUCGAAUCUUUGAACGCACAUUGCGCCCGCCAGUAUUCUGGCGGGCAUGCCUGUUCGAGCGUCAUUUCAACCCUCGGGCGCCCAGUGCCUGGUGUUGGGGAUCGGCCCAGCCUUCCUGUAAGGCCGCCGGCCCCGAAAUCUAGUGGCGGUCUCGCUGUAGUCCUCCUCUGCGUAGUAGCACAACCUCGCAGUUGGAACGCGGCGGUGGCCAUGCCGUUAAACACCCCACUUCUGAAAGUUGACCUCGGAUCAGGUAGGAAUACCCGCUGAACUUAAGCAUAUCAAUAAGCGGAGGA
Molecule: unclassified non-coding RNA, 352 nt
Filed under: soil metagenome
Description: partial contains 5.8S ribosomal RNA, internal transcribed spacer 2, and large subunit ribosomal RNA
Rfam family: 5.8S ribosomal RNA (bases 1-120)
Source: RNAcentral